GACGAACGCUGGCGGCGUGCCUAACACAUGCAAGUCGAACGGAAAGGCCCUGCUCUUGUUGGGUGCUCGAUUGGCGAACGGGUGAGUAACACGUGUGUAACCUGCCCUUGACUUUGGGAUAACUUCAGGAAACUGGGGCUAAUACCGGAUAGGAUCUCCUGCUGCACGGUGGUGGUUGGAAAGUUUCGGCCGUUGGGGAUUUUCUCGCGGCUUAUCAGCUUGUUGGUGGGGUAGUGGCCUACCAAGGCUUUGACGGGUAGCCGGCCUGAGAGGGUGACCGGCCACAAUGGGACUGAGAUACGGCCCAGACGCCUACGGGAGGCAACAGGGGGGAAUAUUGCACAAUGGGCGGAAGCCUGAUGCAGAGACGCCGGGUGCGGGAAGCCGGCCUUCGGGGUGUAAACAGCUUUCGACUGUGACGAAGCGUGCGUGACGGUAAUGGGUAAAGAAGCACCGGCUAACUACGUG
RNAcentral lists this ribosomal RNA (468 nucleotides) under uncultured bacterium. RNAcentral describes it as "partial 16S ribosomal RNA". It matches the Rfam family "Bacterial small subunit ribosomal RNA", at positions 28 to 507 of the family's 1533-position model. The record is from RNAcentral.